UGUGGGAGCCAGCCUGCUGGCGAUGGCGGUGGGUCAGCCACAGGGAUAUUGAAGGUCAGUCCGUCAUCGCCAGCAGGCUGGCUCCCACA
RNAcentral lists this unclassified non-coding RNA (89 nucleotides) under Pseudomonas sp. Z003-0.4C(8344-21). The record is from RNAcentral. Lineage: Bacteria; Pseudomonadati; Pseudomonadota; Gammaproteobacteria; Pseudomonadales; Pseudomonadaceae.